This is a non-coding RNA of Misgurnus anguillicaudatus (oriental weatherfish), 2538 nucleotides long. The record is from RefSeq and is a predicted model, not a curated record. Lineage: Eukaryota; Metazoa; Chordata; Actinopteri; Cypriniformes; Cobitidae.
UGUGUGGGCUGCCUGCACUCAGCUUCUGGGUCUCGUGUAGAACGAUUUUUUGUUCUUUUCCAACUCGAUUUUUAACUCCCUAAACUAGUAGGAUGUUCCAACGGGUGAAGCAACAGUGCUGACGGCAGUUUCAGUGUCAAGUUUUCAUGCCAUGACCACUGGGACGGAAACCAUUAUGACAUUGCCUUGGACAUCAAACUAAACCAUCUCAUUCUGGCUUUUGAGGUGGAUUCUAACCUUGAAAUCUCAGAAGGACAGGUCUAAGAUGGAUGCAGCCUCCAUAGGAUGCAACCUUGCAUUUGAGAAACACCCAUAGAACGGUCAACUUACCCCAUACUCUAACCUGAAUGCAGGGAUCAUAAAACUUUAUCUUUUACCUUAAUUGUUAGAUGGGUGUUGAUACCAAACUUUUUUUUUCGUCUACCCAGGAGAAAGUCAUGGGUUCUGCUGCUAAGGUUGUCAUAAAGUAUGCUUUUUUCCAUUUGUUGCAUUUGGCAAUAAUAUCAAAAGACAUAAAUUCUGAAAGAGAUAAGAUAAUUUUCAAAGCAUUAACAUGAAUAUAAAAGCAUUAAGUCAUUAAUGACCAUCUUUUAUUAUUGUUUAUUUAAAGCGUCUUUUAUUCUGCUUACCUGGCUCUGGUGCUUGGUAGUCUUCUCAAACCUCUGAAUCAAGACCACCAUGAGAGGCCUUCUGAAGACCAUCAUUACUCUACAGAUCCAGUUGUCUUUACUAUGAGAUAGAACUGAACUGGAGUCUGUGAACUAAUGCUGUGUUCGAGACAACUUGGAUGUUGGAUAUUAUUGACCUCAAACCCGUAAGAAGUCUGGAACAGCAAACAAAGUUGAGUAUCAGACGUUGAACUAUUUUUACAGCACAUAUUUAUGAACAUGAAUGUUAAAUUAUCCAGUAACCAUUUUCUGCCAUAAUUGGCUCAAGAGCACAAACUUCUCCUGGUGUCUCAUUAUGUGGUAAACACGCAAAUGUGAUACGUGAUUGACUGGAAUGCAUUGAGGUCGGAGGUAGGAUAUUUAAUGACAUAACAUCAGAAAUCAGAGUUGUCUGUAACACUGCACAAUAUUUCACAGAAUUGUCACCACCUGAUUAUCCUCCCAUGUUUUUAACACAACCAUUGAUUGGUCACAAAAAAAAGAAAUCUAUAUUUAAUGUUAAAAAACACUUACUGUGUUAGAUAACUCUGCUCUUGGAAGUCAGCUUAAGUGAACAAAUGGUAAUGUUAAUGAAAAGUUCAUUUUUGUCACAGUUGCAAACUAACAACCACACAGAAUAUGAAGAAUAGCCAGAACUGUGGUAAUAAGCUAGCCCUAAAAUGUUGUGAGAAUCUUGAUGUAUUGGACACAGGUGUGUAGUAUCUGUUAUUUAUACCACGGGUCUGUUGAAUGCUGUAUUCUGAUUGGCUGAGAAAUGUUCCGUGGGUAUGCAUUCAUUUCUGAUAACCACACACCUAACUUGUCAAAUGUCUUAAAAAUAGGCACCAGAGCAAUGUUUGUGGUAACCGUGGUAUUAGAGGAAUAAUUGACUCCGGUCCUUUGAAUUAUUUGAAAUAAAGCACACCCGCAGUGUAACGGCACUCCGCUUCGCAUCGUGCCGCAUUGCACCUUGGGUGUGCAUUAUUUUCUUAUAAUUCAAUGGCCCGUCGUCAAUUAUUCCUUACAUAUUGACGGUUGACAGGUUUGUUUGCAUGUAAUUGCAUUAUUAUUAAUUUGGGGUUGAUAGUCCAAUGUCGAUUUUUUUCUUUUUCUUUUUAGAUCAUUUCUCUUUUUAAUGCAGAACUUAAGGAUGAACCACCCUGAUCUACUAAGAUGCACAGAUUCAACUCUGGCCCAGCAUCAUCCCCAUACCUCAUCUGCCAUCAGUUUAAUUUAAUGUCUGUCAAUUGCAAAUGCUAUUUAUUUCAGUUAUAUUACAACUUAAUUUUAAUUGUGUAAAGCUGGGGUUUCCAAACUUUUCAUUUCAAAACCUAUUAGACAAGUGUAAUCUAUUCUAGACCCACUAAAAUAUUUUUAAAUAUACAUUUUUUUAAUGGGGUAAAACACAUUUGUUCUCUUUCAGUGGAGUCAUUUUAUUUUCAUAAUAUUUCAUAAUGUAAAGCAGUGGUUCUUAACGUUAUUCCUCGAAGCCCAUUGCUCUGCACAUUUUGUAUGACUCUUUUAUCUGACAGACUCAGUUCAGUUCAUUGAGAUCUCUUCUAAUGAGCUGAUGAUUUGAAUCAGGUGUGUUAAAUAAGGGAGACAUACAAAAUGUGCUGGGCAGUCUGCCUCGAGGAAUAACGUUAAGAACCACUGAUGUAAAGUAAAUAUAAGUUUAUUUGCAAAACCAAAUAUUUUAUGGUAUAUUCUUUCAAAACCAUUGUCAUAGUUAAUUAUUAAUUUGGCCAAACUGUUGUUGCAUCAUUACGGUGUGCAACACACCUUAACCUACUGUGUGACGGACAAGUGGGUCCUCCUGACACACAAUUUAAAAUCCCCUGGUGUACCGAAUGUUGUAUUGUAAUUAAAGUUGCAUCUAAGUCUUGUGUAA